This 608-nucleotide long non-coding RNA is filed under the name Homo sapiens (human). Its description in RNAcentral is "HSALNT0094883". Lineage: Eukaryota; Metazoa; Chordata; Mammalia; Primates; Hominidae. The record is from RNAcentral.
CUCAGGUGCUACGUGAGUCUCCUGAAGGCAGCAGGUAGUUGGUUGGACCCAACCAACAACCAACUCUGGAGUCCUUCUGGGGGAGCCUCAGCAAGUUACUUCAACUCCCUGAACCUCGAUUUUCUCGUCUGUAAAAGGGGCAUAAUAGCAGCACUUCCAUAUAGAGCUAUAAAUGAACUAGUAAUCAACAUAAUGUACAUCGUUUUGCCUUCAUGGACUUCACAUCCUGGCUAAACUGAGUGACUCGCAGGCCCACAUGGUGAGAAAUUGAAGGUUCUUGCAAAGUCACAUGAAUGAGCUCGGAAAAGGAAUCUUCAGCCUAGUCAAGCCUCAGAGACUGCAGCCCCGGUCAACAGCUUGACUUGAGAGUUUCCAAGUCAGAACCACCCAGCUAAGUUGCUCUUGGAUUCUUUACCCACAAAAACUGUGAACGUUAAAUGUGUGUUGUUUUAAGCAGCAAAGUUUGAAUUCAUUAAAUAAUGCAGGCAUCUUUGGUGUUACUUGGCAGAAAGAGGCAACUCCCAUAUUGUUACUCAUAUAUUACAAGUGCACUUCUUCAUCAAUGUUCCCUAAUUACUCUCCACACAGCCUCCUGAAUUAAAACGUGG